CAUUUUCAGUGUCUUCCAGUGCUGCAAACACUCGGACAUUCCUGCUGCACUCAUACCUGUAUGGACAUCUAUUGGCUGUGUCUGCAUUACUCUGUGAAAAAGGGAGAAAUAGCUCACAUCAGUGCGUUUAAUUCUACAAGAAUUUUAUUCUAUCCCAUUCCAUCUUCUUUUUGGGAUAUUGGAAAGCUGCUGCACAUGCAAGAAAAGAGAUCUGGAUUUCACAAAUGAUUCCAGCUGGAUGGCUACUUCAGAGGGAGACCAGGAGAAACACCGCUGUGAAAGGCCAUGUGAUUAACGUGCAGUAAGACAUCCAGACUGUGCACUUUGACUGCAGGGAGGAUAUGGCCUUCCAUGAGAGGAAAGAUUCCGGUUCAUUUUACUGUGUGUAGGAAGUGGAUUUAUGCAGUGCUAUCGGUAGACAGGGAGGCAAGCACUGCUUCCUUGCUGACGACAGAAGUAUGUGAAACUGCUGUAAUCUGAUCACUAAAAACGAGUGGAAGACUGGUGAUGGGAUGAGCAGUAAAGCAGCAUCGUGGUUCAGAAGUGGCAGCCGAGACAUCCCCACACCUCUGCUGCAGUGAAGGGAGAAGCCUGGAAGAACUUCUACCAUAGGAAGUAUACAAAUCCUGGUUUUACUCAAAAUCCUACUUUCUCAUAGCAGCAGCAUUCUACUCAAUCAGCAUUCUACUCAAUACUAUCAAGAGAAAAGAGACAUAGCAAUUGAGAAACUGAGAGUCAGCUGGAAAGAGACUUGACAAUGUGGAUACCUGGAAGAUCAGGGGCCUGAAAUGAAAGCCUAAGCAGUUCUUUACCUUCUACCAUCUUGCUACGCAAUACUUCAAAGAGAAAAGACUUCACCCAUCCCCUAAGCACUUACAGUAAAAUUCAAGGCAUAAAGCAAGAGUGAUGGCCCUAAAAAAGAAACUGAGAGCUGUCAGAAGUCUGGCACAUGCACCACAUCAGGCUCCAAAACCACAUAUGAUCUAAAUUCACUUAAUUACUUCCACAGCUAUGCUUUGUACAUGUUUGUUGCUGCAGAUUCUGGAUUCUUCCCCAGGCUUAGUGCACCAGUAUCAACUACCCCAGGUUGUGCCAAGGAGCUUGUCCUGCACAUGAGGGUGUCCAGCACACACAAAGAACUACUUGCUCAUUUUGCUCUGGCACACACAUAUCUAUCCAGUUAACCUUUUAAACCCCUCCCAGUAUCUGCAGCAGCUCAAUGAACAGCAGGUGAAGCAAAUGACCAAUCAUCCAAUGGCACUCACCAAGCCAUAGGGAAUGGAGACACCCACUGACAUCUUCCCAAAGAGCCCAUGAGAAGAGCUGGGUACCUACAUCUGUGUGCUCCAGCUCAGAUCCAUCUGGGCUUAGGCACCAUGGUUACAGAGAGGGAGCACUUCUCCAUUUGGCUAAUGGUUUCUCCAGUCUCUCUGAUUAUCUAGCUAACAUAGCUUUGUGUCUGCAGCAUUUAUGCUAGCAGGAGCACUAUAAGAGCUAAGAGCUUCAUGCUCCAAAUUCUGUAGUUGGGACCUGCAGCUGGAGACUCAUAGAGUCACAGAAUAGAAUCAUAGAAUGUCCUGAGUUGGAAGAGACCUGCAAGGAUGAUUGAUUCCAACUCCUGGCUCCACACAGGACCAUGCGAAUUUCAAACCAUGUGUCUGAUAGCAUUAUGCCUUUGUCCAAAGGACUUGGGAGAUGGUGUUGAAGUCCCACAAAGCGGGAACAUGUCUCACAGAAUUGACAAGCAUGGUGGAGACAAGCUUAGUGCAGAUCUGUUAUUUACUAUAUAUGUUGUAGAGUCUCUGUGGCCUCCACAAGAGCAAACCAGCAUUGCUGGGGGAGAGUCAGCAGCAGACAGGAAAAUACCAAGUACUCGUGACUAAUAAUUUUGUAGAUGGGAGCAGAUCCUUACCAAACUACCCAAAGAGCAUAUAUCUGUUGGCCAGCACCAAGAUUAAAAAUAAAAAAUGCCUUACAGAUCCAGAAUAGGGUAGCUAGCUGGCAUCAGUGUAAAGAACCCCGGCACAUUAGUUUCAUGGCCAACAAUUUAGCAUUCAACUAUCAGCACGGUGCUCGUAAUGGUAGAGAUUGCUGAGUGAAGUGCAGUAUCUUCUGGGGAAUGAUGAAGCUGUCACUUCUGCAAAAUUCUUUCCAUUCCAUUUCUCAGUUUUCACUCCUUUAUUAUCGUUAUUUCAGCUUAGCCACGGAGUUUUCCAGGGAUAAGUGAAGUCCAAAUUCCUAAUAUUAAAGAAACAAACAAAAGGAAUGCAAACAGAGAGAGAGGGGAAAAAAAGAUCUGGAGGAAAACCAAAUCUUUCUGCACUACAACGCAGUCAAAACAAAACACACCCACAUUCCCCCCACUUUGUAGUUCACUUUUAUGUAGAGCUGUGUCCAUCAGCUGGAAGCUGUCUCGCUGUUUGCACUGUGCAUGGGGAUGUGCCAGAGAUUCCCUCUUACUCCCCUGGGUGGGAUGUAAAGAAUUUCUCUGCACAUAGCUGGCAUUCCUAUUGAACUGAGUCACUUCGUAGCCCAGACAAUAAUGCCAGUCUUAUCCAAACACUCAGAGAUAGACACUGUGAUUUUUUUCUAAUGAUAUCAUUAUGAGAAUGUCCAUUGGAUAUGAAGCAUCCUGGACAAAACUUGUGUUAAAAACCACAUAGCCCAUGCUCACCACCUGCAGUUAAGAGACAUACCUGGCUGUCCCACUUUCCCAAGAUUAAUUAUUCAAGCCUGAGGAAAAGGGGCCAAAAUUACAGUGCAUACGUUACAACAAAUGAGUUCCUGAAGAUGCAGUCAUGAUGCAGUCAUCAUGUGUUCCUUCCUCCUGGUGGCAACCAGAAUAAGCACCAAACUGCUCUGUUGGUUUUUGUUCCUAAACAUAAACCCUCACAAUCCUUUACCAGUAGCUUUGGCAGAACAUCUCAUCUUUGCCGUGUUUGUGCUGCAGUGGCAGGGCACAAACAGAACUUUUUUUUACAGAGGCCAUUAGUUGGAAAUACAAUACUAGUCAAAACUGAACAUGGGUCACAAGCUGCCGAAGCUGUACUUCUACUUGGAAGACAUUACUAGAUAGAUGAAAACAAAUAUCCUGUGGUCACUGUAGUGUGAGACCGUGAUGGAACCCAAUGUGAGAAAGAAAAGGAGUGGAAAAAGAGGUGGCUCUUACCUUGUGCUUAGAUUCUGUUUAUUAAAUAAAAAUAUA
Long non-coding RNA from Gallus gallus (chicken), 3205 nucleotides. Lineage: Eukaryota; Metazoa; Chordata; Aves; Galliformes; Phasianidae. The record is from Ensembl.